GGGUGAAUUCCUUGUUGAGGUGAUUAAGCUGUUUUGUGAUGAUUCUAAGAGGAUGAUCUCAGAGCUGAGCAGCUUGAUAGAUCAGCCAGUUGUGGACUUCCAGAACGUGGGUUCUUUCGUUCAUCAGCUGAAAGGGAGCAGCUCAAGGUAAUUGUCUCCAAUCUGAAUGGAUUCAGUUGCUGAUACUUAUGGAAUACCAUAUAGAAUUUAGAGGUUUUUUCCUUCUCCUUUUUUUCUUCGACUUCCAUUGCAAUUUUCCCCAAAAAAAUCAUUUUAAUUAUGUAGCUUUUUUCGUUAAUGUUGAUGCUUAGCAUCUUGUGUUAUUAUGAUUUAAGUUCUUUAAGAUUGUUGAUAAUUGCCUUUAGAUAGAAUUGUUACCG
This is a long non-coding RNA of Asparagus officinalis (garden asparagus), 380 nucleotides long. RefSeq lists it as uncharacterized. NCBI's taxonomy places the organism in Eukaryota, Viridiplantae, Streptophyta, Magnoliopsida, Asparagales, Asparagaceae. The transcript has 3 exons. The record is from RefSeq and is a predicted model, not a curated record.